Leopardus geoffroyi (Geoffroy's cat) is the source of this 1190-nucleotide long non-coding RNA. RefSeq lists it as uncharacterized. The transcript has 3 exons. NCBI's taxonomy places the organism in Eukaryota, Metazoa, Chordata, Mammalia, Carnivora, Felidae. The record is from RefSeq and is a predicted model, not a curated record.
GCAAGAGGAGGCCCGCCCCGGCGGCCGGAGGCCAAGUGGCGGCCGGCGCCCUCUGCUGGCCAGGAGGAGUUAGUUACUGCGGCCGCGCUGAGGCCUGGAAUUGGGCCGGGGCAAAGGAGCAAAGAUACGCAGGUGAUGGUAGCGAUGGACUGUAGUUAUUAGAGAGCUUGUAUGUGCUAAGCGCAUUAUUACCUGAGUUAACUUCCUCCCCCGCUCAAAACUCUCCCGGGGGCUGCCCACUGCUUUGGGGAUAAUUCCAACUUCCUCACCGUGCUCCAAAAGGUGCUCCCUCACCUACCCCAACCUGCCUCUCUCCCAUCCUGGUUUCCUCCACCACGCUGGCUUUCCGUUUGUACCCCAGACACCGCAAGCUGCCUUCUGACCCAGGACCCUUACCCUGCUGUCCGCUCUAUAUUCGGGGUUCUCGGCCUUGUCACUAUUCACAUUUUGCAUUUGAUAAUGUUUUGGUGAGGCGGCGGUCUUGUUGCAUUGGAGAAUAUUGAACAGCGUCCCAAGCCUUUUAUCCAUUAGAUGCCAGAACGCCCCUUCAACCCCACCCCCAGUUGCGGCCACCAAAAAUCCUCAGACAUCGUCAAAUGUGGAACCGUGGUCGAGAGAGAUGUAAUCAAUUGAUUUAUGCCUGUAAGGCAGGCAACCUUCCUCAGCCCAACCUACCCGUUUAAUGUUGCCACCCACCUCCCUGAAAGCAGGCUUCCAUGAAAUCGCUGUUGGGUUUUCUUCAUAGUUGUAGCUGUUUGAAGUCCUGCUUCUUAUUUAGUGUUUACUGGGUGUCGUCUGGGACCUCCCAUUGGGCUCCAAACAGCCUGGCCCCAGCCUUUUCUUCACUACUCCACCCACCCCCCCUUCCCAGAGCUGGGAGCAAAGUGCCCAAUGUUCAUGGGAUGAAUGCAUUCAGUAUCUCAUUUAAUCUUCACAGGAUCCCUUUGGGCACACAGCCCGCAGGAUGUUAGAAAUCACCCCUGCUCCUCGGUUCCUGAAGGAGUACAGGGAGACCCAGAGAACUGAAGUUCCAAAAUCACUCAGCUCCUGAAUGGGAGAGUAAGACUAGAACCCACCAGCCCCCACACCUCCCAUGCAAGUGCCUGGAUGCAUCGCACAGGGCUUCUUCCCAGGAGAGGCAGAUCCUGAGUUCUCCAUCCGCCCUCUCUGGUUCGAUCGAUACUUCGUGU